GGGUGGGCACCGAGGGGGCGUGCACGUGAGAAGGCAGGCCUGGAGUGCGGGCAUGGCCGAGGCCAGAAAGCGGCGGGAGCUGCUCCCCUUGAUCUACCAUCACUUGCUCCAGGCGGGCUACGUUCGCGCGGCGCGGGAAGUGAAGGAGCAGAGCGGCCAGAAGAGUUUCCUGACCCAGCCUGUUACCCUUGUGGACAUCUAUACACACUGGCAACAGACCUCAGAGCUUGGCCAGAAACAGAAGGCAGAAGACGAUGCAGCACUGGAAGCCAAGAAGUCCCGAGUGUCAGACCCCAUUAGCAGCUCAGAGAGCUCUGAAGAGGAGGAAGAAGCAGAAGGCAGAAGUGCCAAAGCCACUCCAAGACCAACAUCUACUACACCUGUGACUGUGGAUUUGCCAUCAAGCCAGAAAGAAAAAGCCCUGGCAAAGGGCAAGAAAACAAGCAAGAUCUCAAACUCCAUACUGCAUCCUGUUGCGGGGAAGGCAGUGGUCCACCUGCUCUCUGGGAAGUCCCCUAAGAAGUCAACAGAACUUGCAGCAGACACUGUUUUGGUCUCAGAAACUGAGGAGGAGGGUAGCAUCCAGGCUUGCAGUGCUACUGCCAAACCAGGGAUGGUGUCAGCGGGCCAGGCCAGCAGCUCCAGCGAGGACACCUCCAGCUCAAGUGAUGAGACAGAUGUAGAGGUCAAAGCCUCACCAGCUCUUACCAAGGAACCUUCAUCUAGAAAGACAGCCCCAGGCCCUGGCAAGGUAUGGAAUGGGACACCCCAGGUCCAAGGAAGCAUGUUGACUGCAGCCAGGAGGACCAUGGAGCCAGAAGAGUCACCAGAGAGUAGUGAGGAAGACUUUAAAAAUGAGGCCAAAACCCCUGCUGGGACAUCCAGCCAGGUAAAGACUUCUGAGAAAAUACUGCAGGUCAGAGCUGCCUCAGUCUCUGCCAAAGGAACUCCUGGGAAAAGGACCAUCCCAGCACCCCUUGGGAAGACAGGGCCCAUAGCCACCCAGGGCAAGGCAGAGAGGCCAAAACAGGACAUGGAGAGCAGCAGCAGUGAGGAGUCUGACAGCGAGGAGGAGGCGCCAACUGCUGUGUCUGCUCUUCAGGUGAGGCCCUCGGGGAAGACCCCUCCUGACAGAGUUGUUUCAGCCCCUGGUAAGGAGUCAUCAAGGAAAGGGGCUCCUCCAGUGAACCCUAAAAAGGCAGGGACUUCAGCUGCCCAAGCCCAGGCAAGGAAGCAGGAGAACUUGGACAGCAGCAGUAGCAGUGAUGAGUUGAAUAACAAUGAUGAGGAGACACCAGCAGCUGUGAACCUAACCAUAAGCCCUGCUCCGAUGAAACCCUUGGGGCAAAGUCCCCAGGUCAGACCUGUCACCACUGUGGGUGUGGGGCUAUCAAGGAAGGCCACUGGCCCAGUCCCUCCCAGGAAGGCAGGGUCAGCAGCUCUAAGUGUCCAGGUGGGGAAGUUGGAAGAGGACUCAGAGAGCAGCAGUGAGGAGUCGGGUGGUGAAGAUGCAGUGAUAGCAGCCCAGACAAAACCAGCUCUGGAAAUAAAUACCAACCCCAAGAAAGGCACCCCUACUACCCUCACUUCUGCCAAGGUCAUCCCUAUGCUAGUGGGUACUCCAGCUCCCUGGAAAGCACGGACCGGGACUUCUCCAGCCAACCUGCCAUCCACUGCUCUGGCCAGGGGCACACAGAGGCCAGAGAUGAGCUCUUCCAGCAGCGAGGAGUUGGAGGAGAAGGAAACCAAGGCAAUAGGGUUACAGAGCAAGUCUGUGGGGAAAGGCCUGGCACCCACUAGGAAGAUAGGACCUACAGCUGCUCAGGUCAGAGCUGAGGCUCAGGAGGACUCUGAGAGCAGUGAGGAGGAAUCCAGCAGUGAGGAGGCAGCUACCGCCCCAGCACAGGCCAAGCCCCUGGGGAAAACCCCUCAGACCAAAGCCAACCCAUCUCCCACAAAAGCAUCUUUGGCCAAAGGGGCAGCAUUGACACCUGGAAAAACAGCCACAGCCGUUGCUCUGACCAAGAGUAAGACACCUGUGAGGGCUCCCCAGAACAGUGCUGUAAUUUCUGCAAGGGGCCAGUUGUCUAUGCCAGCCAUGGGGAAGAUGGGAACAGCCCAGGCACAGAAGAGGGCCCCAGCAGAUGCAGAAAAGGACUCUGAGAGUAGCAGUGAGGAGUCUGACAGUGAAGAAGAGAUGUCACCUCAGAUGAGGCCCUUGGGGAAGACUCCUCAGGUCAUAGCUGUCUCAGCACCUGCUGAGUCGCCUAGGAAAAGGGCCCCUCCAGCGAACCCUAAAAAGGCAGGGCCUACAUCUGCCCAAGCCAAGGCCAAGGCCCACGUGGGGAAGCAAGAGGACUUGGACAGCAGCAGCAGCAGCAGCAGUUGUAGCAGCAGUGAUGAAUCAGAUAGCAGUGAAGAGGAGACACCAGUAGCUGUGACCCUAACCACAAGUCCUGUUCCGGUGAAGCCCUUGGGGCAAAGUCCCCAGGUCAGACCUGUCUCUGCUGUGGGUGUGGGGCCAUCAAGGAAGGCCACUGGCCCAGUUCCUCCCAGGAAGGCAGGGUCAGCAGCUCCUGUUGCCCAGGUGGGGAAGUUGGAAGAGGACUCAGAGAGCAGCAGUGAGAAGGAGUUAGACGGUGAGGAUGUGCUGACACCAGCCCAGGAUGGCACCCUCCAAACAUCCAGAAGCAAGGCACUGGCUCCAGCUUCCCCAGAAAAGAAUGCACAAGGAUCCUCAGAGAACAGCGAUGAUGAGCUGCCAUCCUGCCAGGGUGGCAGUGCUGUGGGAACACACCCUGUGACCGAUCAUCCCACUGGCACCCCUAUCCAGGUCCAGGCCAGAGCAAACAACAAGCUCAGAAAAUCUAAGAUUCCUCUAGAGCUGCUGCCUCAUUCAGGCCAUCCAAAAGCCACUGGGAGCUCAGAUGACACUGAGGACAGCAAUGACACCUCUUCAGGAAGUGAAGAAGAUGCCAAGGGGCCCCAGACUGCUACGUCAGCUGCUAGGCUGGGAGGUCCAGCCCCUUCCCAGAGGGACACUGUGGUGGAGGAAACCCCAGCAGAGUCCAGCGAGGAUGAAGUGGUGGCCCCCUCACAGUCUCUCCUCUCAGGUUAUGUGACCCCUGGGUUGACCUUGGCAAAUUCUGAAGCAUCAAAAGGAAUUCCCAAGCCAAACUCCAACCUCUUGGUUUCCUGUGCUCCAGUCACCAAAGAUGACCCAGAUAACAAGCAGGAAGUAAAGUCACAGCACACAACAGGCCCCAUGUUCCUUAAAACUGGAAGAAAAAAGGCUGCCUCAGGCCAGACACCUCAGAAGCCCAAGAGGGGGGCCACAAGCUCAACGGUGUCAACACAGGCACUGCAGAACAGCAUCGCCCAGCACCUGCUAGGGCAGCCCUGGAGUGAGCAAAUGCAAGCCUCAGUGGUGAAGGUCCUGACGGAGCUACUGGAGCAGGAGAGGAAGAAAGCCACAAAUACUGUCAAAGAUAGUAGCAAGAAGGACCAGGCCAGUCGGAAACGAAAGCUAUUAGAGGACUAUUCAGCAGCUGGGUCCCCCAAGAGCAAGAAAAAGAAGCACCUGGUAGCUGGGGAAGGCAGGGAGUGUGGUGCUUCCUCAGAAAAGGCCUCUAGAACUUCCAAGGGGAAAUCAAAGAGAGAGAAAGCCAGUGGUGAUGUCAAAGAGAAGAAGGGUAAAGUGUCUACGAGCCCCCAGAGGGCCAAAGACAAAUCUGAAGGGGAGCUGGGCAUGGUGAAGGUUGAGGGUAGAGAUCAGAGUGACCCAAAGAACAAGAAAGAGAAGAAGAAAUCCAGUAAGAAAAAAAAAGACAAGGAAAAGAAGAAAGGAAAAAAGACCUCAGCCAAAGACCCUGACUCACCAUUCCAGAAGAAAAAGAAGAAAAAGGUAGCAGGAAAUCCUGAGGGGUCUCAAACCAGGAAAGGGACCCAAGUCUUUCCUCUUCCCUAAACUUUCCAUUCUUGAGCUCCAAAAGAGGGCCUUGUGAGGAAGAACUGCCCCAUCUUGUCUGCUGGGUGGAGGAAGUGGGAGCAGUGGGACAAGAGACUGACCGUGCAGUUAGUACCUGGCUCCCAGAUAAGAGGAAGGGGUAGAGGAAAUUAAGCACCUGGUAACCUGGCCACUCCAGAGCAAUGGAGUGCCUGGCCUGAGUGUCCCCACUAAAGAAACGACGUCUACCUUAUGGAUGCCAAAGUCUAGUCCCCUGAACAGGAGCUGUCCUUGGCCCAGGGUCUGGUGGCCUAGGAAUGCCUAGCACCUGGUGCUACAGAAGCCUGGCUCACCGGAGAAGAAGAUGGUGGAGCCGACUGAGUGAGAGCCAGGGACACAGCACAGAGACUUCUUAUCAGAGUGGUGACCAUCCCCAAGCCUUAGGCCUCUGACCUCUACUCAACAUGGGUUGGAACUGGACUUUUAAUCUUCCCUCUCUACAGAAGAUGGCCAGCCCCAGGGGCUGCAACUGGCAAGACAGUGAACCAAAAGGAAGGCCAGUCCAAGGAGGAAGUAGCUCCACUCCUGAAGCCCUUCUCUCCCCCUGGGAUACUUCUAGAGAUGUGUACAGUGUAUAUAUAUAUUUUUAAGUGACCUGCCUCUCCUCCUCCAAAUCCAACAUGCCCAUAGUCCUCAGGACCUCUUGCUACGUUGCUGUACAGAUGCAACAAGUCAUGACUCACUUUGCCUCAUCAGGUCUCUGAUCACCCCUGAGGCUUUGUCCUCUCUCUCUCUACCAUGUUUUCUUCAGCUAUGGUUUUACGUUUUUUUGUUUUUGUUUUUGUUUUUUGGAACGCAAAAUAAAAGACAAAGAAAGUAUGAGUUGCCAGCACUUGUGGGACAGAUACUGUUACUGACAACUUAAAAAGGACUAUACCCUAGAGGUCAUCAGGCCGGCAUGCAGGGUUCCGUUUCAACCUCAUAUCAAAAACCCCAGGAGAGUAUCAGUAGGACAGUUUGUUAGCCUCAGUAAAGUACCCUGGCACUGAA
Jaculus jaculus (lesser Egyptian jerboa) is the source of this 4996-nucleotide RNA transcript. It is a transcript of the gene named treacle ribosome biogenesis factor 1, with no coding region annotated. NCBI's taxonomy places the organism in Eukaryota, Metazoa, Chordata, Mammalia, Rodentia, Dipodidae. The transcript has 24 exons. The record is from RefSeq and is a predicted model, not a curated record.